UACCCGUUGAUCCUGCGGGAGAUUGCGGCUAUCUGGGUUCGACUAAGCCAUGCAAGUCAAGGGGGAGCAAUCCACCGGCAUAAGGCUCAGUAACACGUCGAUAAUCUGCCCUUAGGUCUGGGAAAACCGUGGGAAACUGCGGCUAAGCCCGGAUAGAGGAAUAUGUCUGGAAUGGCUUUUCCUUUAAAAGCAAUGCCUAAGGAUGAGUCGGCGGCGGAUUAGGUAGUUGGUGAGGUAAAGGCUCACCAAGCCGAAGAUCCGUAGGGGCUCUGAGAGGAGUAGCCCCGAGAAGGGCACUGAGAUACUGGCCCUAGCCCUACGGGGUGCAGCAGGCGCGGAAACUUUACAAUGCACGCAAGUGUGAUAAGGGAACCCAGAGUGCUUAGGCUUAGCCUAGGCUUUUGCAAAGAGCAAAUAUCUUUGCGAAUAAGUGGUGGGCAAGACUGGUGCCAGCCGCCGCGGUAACACCAGCGCCACGAGUUGCAAUCCCAUUUAUUUGGCCUAAAGCGUCCGUAGCUCGUCAGGUAAAUCUCUUGUGAAAUCGUUGGGCUUAACCUAACGGCGUGCAGGGGACACUGCCUGGCUAGGGACCGGGAGGAGUCAGAGGUAUUCAGGGGGGAACGGUAAAAUGUUAUAAUCCCCUGCAGACCACCUGUGGCGAAGGCGUCUGACUAGAACGGGUCCGACAGUCAGGGACGAAAGCUGGAGGAGCAAACCGGAUUAGAUACCCGAGUAGUUCCAGCUGUAAACGCUGCGAGCUAGGUGUUGCACAUUCUUCGUGAUUGUGCAGUGUCGAAGCGAAGGUGUUAAGCUCGCCGCCUGGGAAGUAUGGUCGCAAGACUGAAACUUAAAGGAAUUGGCGGGGG
RNAcentral lists this ribosomal RNA (866 nucleotides) under uncultured archaeon. RNAcentral describes it as "bacterial SSU rRNA". It matches the Rfam family "Archaeal small subunit ribosomal RNA", at positions 1 to 874 of the family's 1478-position model. The record is from RNAcentral.